CAGCCGCCGCGGUAAUACCGGCGGCCCGAGUGGCGGUCACUAUUAUUGGGCUUAAAGCGUCCGUAGCCGGGUUGGGAAGUCCUCCGGGAAAUCUGGCCGCUUAACGGUCAGUAUGCCGGAGGAUACUCCCAGCCUAGGGAGCGGGAGAGGCCGAGGGGAUUCCCGGAGGAGGGGGGAAAUCCUAUAAUCCCGGGAGGACCACCUGUGGCGAAGGCGCUCGGCUGGAACGCGUCCGACGGUGAGGGACGAAGGCCAGGGGGGCAAACCGGAUUAGAUACCCGGGUAGUCCUGGCUGUAAACGAUGCGGACUUUGUGUCGGACAAGCUAUGAGCUUGUCCGGUGCCGGAGGGAAACCGUUAAGUCCGCCGCCUGGGGAGUACGGCCGCAAGGCUGAAACUUAAAGGAAUUGGCGGG
Molecule: ribosomal RNA, 414 nt
Filed under: uncultured microorganism
Description: bacterial SSU rRNA
Rfam family: Archaeal small subunit ribosomal RNA
Source: RNAcentral